AUGAUGGAUGAACAUUUAUUAGAUAUAAUUACACAUUAUAUUAUAAAAUUAAAUAAAGUUCCAUUAUAUUUAAGAUUUUUACCAUCAUAUAAUAUUGGUUCCCUUACAGAUAUAAAAAAAGAAAUAAAAAGAUUAAAAUUUUUAAAUGAAUUUUAUAAACUGUAUUUUGAUAAAUAUAAUAAAUGGAAAGUAGUUAUAAUUAACAAUCGUAUACAUAUAUUUGAAAAAAAAAAUAAAGAAAAAAAAAAUAAACCAUUUUUAUUAAAAACGGGUUAUAAUACUAAUGUAAAAUUACAAACACAAAAUAAAAAUGAAGAGGAAGAAAAGGAAUCUAAUAAAAAUAAUCAAGGUCUUACUGAAAAAGAAAUAGAACAAAUACAUAAAAAAAUACUUAAAUUUAAAGAAACAAAUAAAAUAUAUAAUGGUGAUGAUUCAGAAGGAGAAUAUGAAAAUGGAGAUUCUUAUGAAAAAGAUAAAAAAAAUAAAAUAAAAAAAAAAAAAAGUAUUUUGAGAAAAGGUAAUCAUAAAAAAUAUGAUUGGCCUGGUAAUUCUUAUGAUGAUGAAUUAAAUGAUGGGGAAAUAUAUGAUGGUGAAGAAAUGGAUAAUGAAAAAGAAAUGGAUGAUGGUGAAGAAUAUGAAGAAACGGAUGAAGAAACUGAUGAAGAAACGGAUGAAGAAAUUGAUGAAGAAAUUGAUGAAGAAAUUGAUGAAGAAACGGAUGAAGAAACGGAUGAAGAAAUUGAGGGAGAUGAAAAAAAUGAAGGAGAUGAAAAAAAUGAAGGAGAUGAAAAAAAUGAAAUAGAUAUAUUACAAAAAUGUUCUACUAAAAAUGUAGUUGAUUCAAAUUUGGAAAUUUUAAACUCAAACGAAGAAUGUGAUUAUACAAACAAUUUAACAAUUGAUGAAAAUAGUAAAUCAUCAAAGUUUCUAACAAAAAAUAAUUGUGCUGGUAGAAGUAGUAGAGCCAAUAAUAAUAAUAAUAAUAAUAAUAAUAAUAAUGUUAAUAAUAAUAAUGUUAAUAAUAAUAAUGUUAAUAAUAAAAAUGCAAAUUAUUUUGUUUCUAAUCCUGUAAAUUUAUUUUGGUUUGGUGGACCAUUACCAGGAUUAACAAUAUUACAUAAUAUAAAAAAAUAUUCAAAAAAUAUUGUUAUAAAUGAUUUAUUAUAUGAAGGUUAUAAUGAAAAUGUGGAUCUAACAAAUACUAAUACAAAAAUAAAUAGUAGUAACUAUAAAAAUACGACUUGUGAAGGUACUACUCGUGAAGCUACCAAUUGUGAAGGUACCAGUUCUGACAUAAAACAAGAAACAUUUGAAGAAAAUACAAUACAAAAAAAAGAUCAAUAUGAAAUAAUUAAUAAAACUGAUAAAAUAGAAACACAAAACAUGUUUUGCAAUAAUGAAAAUAAAAACUCAUUUAAUCCUGAUAAAACAAAAGUUAAUACAAAAUUAAUAAAAAGAUUUAUAGGUAAAGCAACAUGGGAUAUUAAUCAGUUAAUAGAUGAAUUAAAAAAUAAUUACUGGAUUCCAAUCGAUUGCCAAAAUAAUAAUUUGUUAUCAAAUAUAAUUUUUAACUCAUCUAACCUAUCUAACUCACUGUAUAAUGGUCGUCCUAGUACAACUGGUACAGGUAGAGCCACUACCGGAAGAACCAGUAGAAUAAAUACUGGUAGUAAUAAUAUAAAUAAUAAUACAUAUGCUUAUAAUUCAAAUUCAAAUUAUAUGAAUACGUAUACAGGUGAACAUUUAUGGGAAAAAAUUUUAGGAUCUUUAAAUAAAGAUUAUGAACAUAUUUCUCAAAUACCUCAAUAUGUUAUAGACAAUGUUUUAAAAGACUUCAGAGGCGUUGAAACUGAGUGA
Piliocolobus tephrosceles (Ugandan red Colobus) is the source of this 1857-nucleotide long non-coding RNA. The record is from Ensembl. Lineage: Eukaryota; Metazoa; Chordata; Mammalia; Primates; Cercopithecidae.